GGUAGCUCAGCUGGUUGGAUCAUGGUGCUGAUAACGCCAAGGUUGCAGGUUUGAUCCCUGUAUGGGACA
This is a non-coding RNA of Podarcis lilfordi (Lilford's wall lizard), 69 nucleotides long. The record is from the annotation of a GenBank genome assembly. Lineage: Eukaryota; Metazoa; Chordata; Lepidosauria; Squamata; Lacertidae.